This 324-nucleotide ribosomal RNA is filed under the name Triticum aestivum (bread wheat). RNAcentral describes it as "partial small subunit ribosomal RNA". The record is from RNAcentral. Lineage: Eukaryota; Viridiplantae; Streptophyta; Magnoliopsida; Poales; Poaceae.
AUGGAUCGAAGUUGGAUGAGUAAACCAAGAUCAACUACUGAUUAUAAAGAAGGUGUCGAGCUAAUGGUUGGUUAUCUGACAUAUUCGAAUUGUCAUACAAAGAUUACAAGUUGGUCUUCUUUAAAUGUGAUUGGGGAGAAGUUAGAGGAUGAACCUUUUGUAUUUUCUUCCCAAGUGGACCAGGUCUACUACAUCCAAAAUCCGAGAAGUGAGAAUUGGAAUACCAUGGUGAAAUUCAAACCUCGUGAUAUUUUUGACAUGGGUGGAGAACCAUCUUCAGAUGAAACAGAGAUAGUCUUUGUGUUUUUAGCUUGUUAUCUGUAG